RNAcentral lists this ribosomal RNA (253 nucleotides) under uncultured bacterium. RNAcentral's name for it is "partial 16S ribosomal RNA". It matches the Rfam family "Bacterial small subunit ribosomal RNA", at positions 524 to 776 of the family's 1533-position model. The record is from RNAcentral.
UACGUAGGGGGCUAGCGUUGUCCGGAAUCAUUGGGCGUAAAGCGUGCGCAGGCGGUUUUGUAAGUCUGUCGUGAAAGCCCCGGGCUCAACCUGGGAAUUGCGAUGGAGACUGCAAGGCUUGAAUCUGGCAGAGGGGGGUAGAAUUCCACGUGUAGCAGUGAAAUGCGUAGAGAUGUGGAGGAACACCGAUGGCGAAGGCAGCCCCCUGGGUCAAGAUUGACGCUCAUGCACGAAAGCGUGGGGAGCAAACAGG